UUGACGUUUGCGGUCGCUGCUGAGAAAUGAAGAUGAAGAUCACUGGAUAAAACCACUGGAUUCACAAGAUCACUGGCUGGAUUUGGAUCUGUUUCUUGCAAACAAAUUGCUGUACUCACUCGGGAGGGCAAGGCUCGGUGUUACAGGGCCGCUGGUUCCCUGGCGGUUUGCUGUCCGAGUCACAGUAGCUGUUUUGGACCACGGAGUUGUCAUCCAGUCUUUUACACACCACCUCCUGCUUCUGCGAACCUGCAAAAAGACAAUAAAACAUCACUUCAUUCAUCUGCCUCGGCCAUUUUCGGCACUUCAGCAGCUCGUGCGCAAUAGCGCUGUGUGGUCGGCAUCGGUCCCUGAGGUUAAACUAGCUCUGUGUCUCUUCUCCAGGGGUCCGCUUGCUGACAGAGCACUCUGUGUGGAUAGAGGCACGGAGGUGAUAUCAAUUUUCCCUCCGUAUUAUAUCUAGGUGUGUAAAUGCCUCGGUUGAAGUGAGUGUCUUAGUGAAUGAUUUUUACAGAGAAGCCAAUCUUUUCUUUGGCUCUUGGUUGUGAAAAGUGAGCAUUACCACAGUAAUGGCAGAGUAGUGCGCUAUGCUUAGCGCUAGAGGCCAUUGGACUCUUUGGGGCCCAUAAGGAAAGACAUUAGCCUCCAGUUAAGCUGGUUUAUGCCAAGCUUGGCUAGCGCGCAAGGCCACCUUGUGAGGUGGAUCUAACAGCUGCCAGUACGGCAUUCUUGACUGGGUAACCGAAAUAACAACCUACUCCGGUGGGAGCUCGAUGAACCCUUUCAAGAUAAGAGAUUUCGUUAGUACCGAUUUGAUUCGCUGAAACCCAACCAGGGGGUAAAUGUAAAAUCUCAUGACAUCAGUUCAUGAUGUAAGACCGUUAUCAUUGCUGCACAUAAUGAUCAAAACAAUAAGACCGCAACAUUGAAAUUUAAUGGGAGUUUGUAAAAAAAAAGCAGGAAUCAAGUCCAAGUGUCUGAAUCACAAAUCAUUUCUAAAAGAAUAUUGCUGAAUUUUAUGGCAGUUCGCUUGGUGUUCAAAUGCUCCCUGUGUGGCUUGCCAGCAGAACAGCCGGGAGUUGUAUUAAUAACCCAAAAUUUCACAAAUGACAUAAGUGUUGCCCUGGGGUAUUUCCAUAUAAACUAAAAUGUGUUCAAAUGAAUUGAGCAACGAAUGAGGUUGAGUUUGCGGAGCUCUGUGAAAACCCUCAGUGGACUAGCCUGCGAUGUUUGCAUUUUUUGGUGAAAUAUAACAAGUGCUUUGAAUGUUUUCAAUGGCCAUAACUGAAAAAAGGAUAGAGGAAAACUAUUUAUUGUUGUAAGAAAGCCAUUUAUUUCGGAGGAGCCUGAACAGUCUGGUCAUAUUUGAGGUGAGGGCUCACAUUUACAUGUGGUUACGACAUUCAGAUGUUGAAAUAAGAGGCAGCCUUUCUGCUCCCUGCACAACUUGUAUGUUGGCGGCACAAAUUGGUGAAACAUAAUCAUAUGUAAGAUAAAAAUACAUUUAUCAUUCUGUA
Pimephales promelas (fathead minnow) is the source of this 1517-nucleotide long non-coding RNA. RefSeq lists it as uncharacterized. The record is from RefSeq and is a predicted model, not a curated record. Lineage: Eukaryota; Metazoa; Chordata; Actinopteri; Cypriniformes; Leuciscidae.